RNAcentral lists this non-coding RNA (21 nucleotides) under Caenorhabditis elegans. Lineage: Eukaryota; Metazoa; Nematoda; Chromadorea; Rhabditida; Rhabditidae. The record is from RNAcentral.
UGUCUCUUUCGCUCCCUUCAG